CACUUGUUUUCAUCCCAUACCAAACCCACAUGUGUUAGCAUCUAGCAUUUGGAUGUUAGAUGUUAGCAUGGGUUUGGUAUGGGAUGAAAACAAGUGC
Molecule: small RNA, 97 nt
Filed under: Paramuricea clavata
Lineage: Eukaryota; Metazoa; Cnidaria; Anthozoa; Malacalcyonacea; Plexauridae
Source: RNAcentral